UUCCAGACUCCUACGGGAGGCAGCAGUGGGGAAUAUUGCACAAUGGGGGGAACCCUGAUGCAGCGACGCCGCGUGGGUGAAGGAGCACCUCGGUGCGUAAAGCCCUAUCGGCAGGGAAGAAACAGACGGUACCUGACUAAGAAGCCCCGGCUAACUACGUGCCAGCAGCCGCGGCAAUACGUAGGGGGCAAGCGUUAUCCGGAUUCACUGGGUGUAAAGGGAGCGUAGACGGCGACGCAAGUCUGGAGGGAAAGCCCGGGGGCCACACCCGGGACUGCUCUGGGAACUGCGUCGCUGGAGUACGGGAGGGGGAGGGGGAAUUCCUGGUGUAGCGGUGAAAUGCGUAGAUAUC
Molecule: ribosomal RNA, 352 nt
Filed under: uncultured bacterium
Lineage: Bacteria
Description: bacterial SSU rRNA
Rfam family: Bacterial small subunit ribosomal RNA
Source: RNAcentral